Molecule: long non-coding RNA, 6757 nt
Filed under: Solanum melongena (eggplant)
Lineage: Eukaryota; Viridiplantae; Streptophyta; Magnoliopsida; Solanales; Solanaceae
Description: long non-coding RNA (SMEL_LNC000189)
Source: RNAcentral
CCAUUAGAUUCCUCCACAUAAUGUUGGUGAUAAGCGGUGCAGUCCUACCGACUGGUUUCUUCUUCAUGAGUUCCUCCGUUGGCUUCUCUGUCGCGAGUGCUAGUGCCCCUAAUGUGUCCAUGAUCAAAUUUACCCAUAGCAACUGUACUGCUGUGAGUGGUACCUCACCAGAUGAAACAGCGGCAACAAAAUUGAUCACGAGCGCAGCCACAUUAACUGUGAGCUGAAAUUGGAUGAAUUUCUGGAUGUUGUUAUAGACACACCUUCCCCAUUUCAACACUGUGGCAACUGAAGCAAAGUUAUCAUCUAAGAUGACAAUAUCAGAACUCUCUUUAGCCACUUCAGUGCCUUGAAUCCCCAUAGAAAGUCCUAUAUCUGCUUCCUUUAAAGCUGGUGCAUCGUUCGUUCCAUCACCUGUGACUGCGACAACAUGACCUUUCUUUCUCAAGCACUGCACCAUUAGAAGUUUGUCAAAAGGGGAUGAUCUUGCCAUCACGCGUAUCUUCUCAACUCUCUCCAUCCGUACUUCAUCUGUUAGGUUGCGAAAUUCUUCACCUUCUAUGACUGCUCCUUCAUCUACUUCCUGAUUAGGAUGGAGAAUCCCACAUUCUGUUGCUAUGGCCUUUGCAGUGAACACGUUGUCACCAGUGAUCAUCUUGAUGCUCACCCCAGCAUUUUGGCAAUCUUCCACUGCUUUCUUUACGCCAGGUCGGCAUGGAUCUUUUAGGCCAACAAAGCCCAAAAGAAUGAAAGAGUUGUCUGGAACAUUUCCGUGCAUAUGAUCAUUAUCCUUCUGCUCAGCUUUUGGCUUUUGCUUGUGUGCGAAUGCGAUACAUCUCAGGCUGCUGGCAGCCAUUCCUUCAAUUAUCCUGUCACAUUCUUCCUUAUCUGAUUCCCCUAGAGGUUUUAUGUUCCCUUCUAGAUCAUAGUAAUGGGAGCACAUUCUUAAAAUCAUUUCAGCAGCACCUUUCCAAUGCGCAUGAAUUGUGCAAUCACUGAUGUUCUUGACCAGGACACCACUCUUCUUUUUCUCUGAAUUGAAAGCUUCCACAUGUAGAAUGUUGAAAUUUCUUUUGAUUUGAUCCAUAUCCAUGUUCAAUUCCAUAACAGCCCAUGAAAGAAUAGCUUUUUCAGUAGGACUGCCUGAGAACUCGAAGCUGGAACAUGAAUCCGUGGACUUGAAAACACUGCCUGUAGUGUUUAAUCCAACCCCUUGGUGUAAUAAUUCAAGAACUUUGGCUGAAAUUGUUGUAUGACUUUCUGCCUUCACGUGCUGUUUGCCUAAGAAAAACUUUGUCACGGUCAUCUUAUUUAAUGUAAGAGUACCUGUUUUGUCUGUACAGAUGGUGGUGGCAGAUCCCAUAGUCUCACAUGCGGAGAGCUUCCUAACCAUUGCCUGAUCAGCCAUCAUUCUCUUCAUGGAAUAAGCCAGAGUAAGUGUAACAGCUAAAGGCAAGCCUUCAGGAAUUGCGACAACAACAAUGGUAACAGCAGCAGCAACAAUUCCCACCACAGCAUUGAUCACAUCAUCAGACGAUGUUUUGCUCCCGAUGAAUUCUUUGUUCCCAUUCUCAUCUUUUGUGGUCCCAGUAAAGUAUCUAACCAACAGGACAACAAGAACUAAGAAAGCAACUAGCAACCCAACUUUACCAAUCGAUGUAGUAAGCUUGUUGAGUCGUUCUUGGAGAGGGGUUUGCUCAUUAGAAUCACUGCUGAUUUGGCUCAUCAUUUCACCCCAGGUCGUGUUCAUUCCAACCGAUGUCACAAGCAUCAUGCCAUAGCCAUCGGCAACCUUUGUCCCAGAAAUCAAGAACGGAUUUUGUCUAAGGUUAAUCUCGACAUGAUCACUUUCACCUGUCAUGCUAGAUUCAUCCACUUGUAAAGAAUGACCUUGUACCAAAAUCCCAUCAGCAGGGACUUGAUCUCCAAUCUUCAAGCAAAUGACAUCUCCAACAACAAUUUCAAAUAUCGAUAUCUGUUGGCGCCUCCCCUUUCUAACAGCUUCAACCGGAAUAUUCUUGCUCACUUUAGAUAGCUUAUCAAACUGUCUGUUUUGUCUAAAAUUACUAAUAGACGAAACAGCGAUGACAAGAAACACCGCGACAUAAAUACUCCCUCCAUCAUACCAUCCUUCUUUCAGUCCAUGCUCCUUAAUUCCAAAUCCAAGAGACAGAGCAGCACAGAGCAAUAGUAUAAUAAUGGUGGGAUCCUUAAAUGAUUCCCAAACAAAUACGAAGAAACUCUUAGUAGGUGGCUUACGAUACGUAUUGCUUCCAAACGCCUCAUGUCUACGUGCAACAUCUUCUGAAUCUCCGCUUACACCAUCAGUUGUAUCACUUUUUAGAGAUGCAGCAACACCUUGUACACCUCCAAGGUUAGCAAGUUCGUCAAAGUUUUUAUCUUUUACAAGCUUAGCUAGACUCGACUGAUCAAUGCCUGAGAAAAAAGGGUGGUGUUCAACUACAUCAAUCGCGAUUGUAUCAUUCGACACACAAAGUAUUUUUCUUGGAUAGUAGGCAUGAUUAUAAGAUGGCACAAGGGUAGUUUUAAAAGCUCUGGAACAAUAGAUGGUAGCAAAAGCUAAGUGCCAUCUUUUCUUGUUAGACAAUUCAAUUUCUUUUGACAAAUCAGUUGUGAUUUUGUUCAUGAAUAGGUAAUGCAAGUUUUCUUCAAACAUGUUUGAUUGAAAAUAUGUAUAAUAAUAACGAUGAACAAUUAAAUGACAAAAAAAAAAUCAAAUAAUUUGUGAUUGUGUUUUUGAGUGAAGUAGUAAUAAUCCCCUGAAGUUAAUCAUAUUAUUUAAGUACUAAUACACCGCGUAAUCAAGUCUAUGAAGUUAUGUUGAGUGCAGUUUCAUGGAUAUUUCCAUAAACCGCCUUUCGGGUCUCCACUAUUUUCUUGCGGCCCACGAUCUAAUUAAGUUGGGCUUCUUGUACAAGUGACCAAAUUGUUUACUUCUGAGAAAAUUUUAGAAAUAACAAACAUAAUAAAUAUAAUAAAGUUUUAUAGUUAUAGUUUCGUCUGCUAUGAACGUCGUUGUUUGUACAUUUUUGUCUGUUUGUAUGUUUCGCUAGUCAAUAUAUAUAUAUAUAUAUAUAUAUAUAAGGUAUAUACAAAAUUUUAAAUUUAUACAAUCAGAAAUUGAGUUAUGCAAAUUCCAGAUCUGUAAUCAGGUGAAUAGCAAAAAUUGGGGGAAUUGUAGCUAUAAUACCUAAUAUAGGCUAAAUGUUUGUUAUUCGGCAUAAUUUCUCUUCAAUAAAACAGAUGUAUUUUCAGUAUGUAUCGAUGUUAUACGAAUAGUAUUUCCUCCGUCUCAUUUUAUAUGAGUAUUUUUGACUUGACAUGCAAUUUAACAAAUAAAUGAAUAGUUUUGAAACUUGUGGUUUAGACGCUUUUUUCGCGGCAAGAGCUGUGUUGUUGCAUCAGUAAUCGCGGAUCAGCAUGCCGCGGUGAAUAUGUACCCGGGCCCGAUCUCUCCAACGCAUAAAUGGUUGUGAGUUCACGUUCUCAUCAUCUUUGGUAAAAUCAAAUAGAUGAUAGAUAUUUGUGUAGUCAUAAAUCAUUCAUUAAGGAUAAAUAGGUAUUUUAAAGUUAAAUUGUUAUUUAAUAUAGAAAUGUAUUAUUCUUUUUGGAACGGAUGAAAAAGGAAAUACAUUCGUACAAGUGGGAUAGAAGAAGUAUAUACAAAUUGUCUAUAUAUGAUGUAUAACUAUGUAUUAGAAUAUAUGUUUUUUAUAUGAGUAAUAUAUACUCAUACUUAUAAUUUUUUCAAAUUUUCUUCAAAUAGUUCCAAAUUUUAAAUAUGAGUUCCUUUCAAUAUUUUUGAGUUUUAUAUAUUAAAUUCAUCUAAAUAAUUCACAUUUGUGAUACGGUUAAUUUAAUUAAGUUUCAUAAUAGAAUUUUGAGAUAACUAUGAUCCAAAACACUUUAGUCAACUAUAAAACAUAUUUGUUGUAUAUAAUAUAUCUGACCAGGUAUGUAAUUCGAAUUUAAUUGAAACUUAACACAAUCAGGUAAUAGGUAAUUUUUUCACCUAUUGUAGCAUAUUAGCUGAUAAUGAUUUCUUAACUAUCGUACAAUUGAAUGAUAUAUUAAGCUUUCGCUAUAUAAGAAGGAAAGAUAUAAAUGACUUACAUAUAAGCUAAGUCAUGAUAAAUUAAUUAUUGUAUUUUAACUUAACUGUUAAGACUACUAAUUAUUAUGUAGCUAGGUUUCUUUUUGUUUACAAUUUGGUCAUGUCGACAAUAUGAUCCGUGUGUGAAGUAUUUAAUUAUGAAAUGAAGCAGCCAUUUAUUUAUUUCACAAUAUAAUUUUUUGUCAUUACAUAUGGUUUUGAUAAAAGUCAAUUUUACCAACAAUGUUUAGGAGCACUUAAUAAAUCAAGAAAAUUUUUUUUGAAAUAAGAUGCAACUGAUAAUUUAGGAAAGAAAUAGGUUCAAAAAAGAAAAUAAUUUGACUUUGCAUGUAUCCACCCUCUUCAAAUUAUAUGGAAUAUAGUAUUGUUGUGAUCAUUCAAGAAAAUAAAAACAAAGAAGAGACAAACACCUUAUUUGUUUGUAUAUUUAAUAAGGAUUUGGAAUCUUAAUUAUUCAAUUUUUAGUAAAUAAGUAUGUCUAUCUUUUAGAUCUUAAUUUUAAUUAUUCAAUUCUUAAUUUUCAAGUAUUUCUUUUUUCUGUGUUUUGCAAUCAAAGAAACUAAAUAGGCUAAAAGAUAUUAAAGCUCGAGUCCAACAAGGCAGAAAGUAGGGUUGCAAACUUUUUUUUUUUAGAACAUAAAUUUUAUCGGUUAUCGAUUUAAAAAUACGUUAAAUUAGUUUAAAAUUAUUAAGAUAUUGUUUAUCGACAAUCAGUGAUAGUUUUUAACAGUUAAGAUUUGACACGGAAUAAUGAUUGAAAAUCAUUUAGAAAUAAGAUAACAAACAAAAUAAACCAUACACGUGAGUUGACAUAUUAUAUCUUGUACAAAAGUAAACACAGACACAUUGUAGUAUAAUUAAAAGUUUCAAAUUGCCAAAAAUAAAAAUAUGAAACUAAACGUUAAAUAUUUUAUAUGCCGAUUGAUAUAAAUAUAAUUACAGGGCUAGUCAUGAAAAAUAUCAAAAUGCCAAGAAUCAAUAACUCAUAGUAAAUAUUAUUAAAAUUAUUAUCGGAAGAGCUAAAUCAAUUACCCAUUACUAUAAAUCACAAUAAAUUUGGGUUAUCAUUUCAAUUCAAAUAGUAAAAAAAAACAAUGUUUUUUGUAACAUGGGCGCAAAAAAUAUUUGGAAAGGAAGGCUCUAAUUCUGCGAUCAGUUUCACAUAAUUUCAUUGAUCUUUUCAACUUCUCAAUCCCCAAAUUGAUAUGACUCAGUAAGUCAAAUUAGGAACACAGAUACAAAAUCAACGGUGCCGGAAAGUACUUCUGACUGAAAAUUCACAGGCAUUGCACCGGCGAUCGGCGAUCGGCGAUCGGCGAUCAGUUUAUAUUGCGUAAACUGAAAGAGGUAACAAAUUGUCAUCUCUUCUCAUUCCUUGGGAUCCAUAUUACACACAUUUUCCAUUUCUUAACCCUGCUAUGAUCAACUUGAAAACAAGUUUUAUUGCAUUCCGAAUUCUAUGAUGAUUGACAAUGAGUGAAUGCCUGAUGUAUCUCUAUUUUGAUGCUUCUAGAAAUUACUGUAGCUAUUAAUCUAGCUUUAAGAUAAAUAUAUCUAAGAUACUAUUGUAGAUCAUUCUAGAAGCAUUUGUAAAAAAUCUUAAGUUCUUUUUUUGAUGUUCCAAAGAGUUAACUUUAGUCUUUUCAGUCUAUUUGUUGAAUAUCUUUUGUCUUUACUACUUAGGAAGUGGAGAAAUUUGGAUAUGCAAAGGGAGAAACUCUGGACUUUACACUUCUAGAUGUGUUCAACUCUUAAUUUGAUAUUUUUGUUAAUACUUGAGUAAUUUUCAACUGUAAAUCUAUACUCCGUUACUGUAGUAGAGAAUUCUGUACAAAUCUUUAUUUAAAAACAUACCAUACACAAAUACAAGUAGUGAGUAAUAAAUGAAUGCAACAUAAAUCAACCAUUUCACAACAAACUAGAACAUCUAAAUUUACUCUAUUUUAACCUGAGAUAACUGAAGAUUGGUUUCUCUGGGACAGUUAUGCACUUGACAAGCCAACCAAUUGGCCAAGAUGCAGCUGCAAAUCCAAUGCAGAUUCCCCAUUGCCCCCAAUUCAGCCUCUCUGUAUUUGCAAACUUCUUUAGAAACUCCACCAUCACCACUUGGAGAACCAAUGUUAUUCCGAUGAUUCCCAUGAACAACUUGUUCUUGUGUAUUCCCUCAAAGACAUUCUUCUUCUCCAGGUUUCGCGCGUUGAAUUCAUUGAAAACUUGGCAAAGAACAAACGUGUUGAAGAUUAAUGUAUCGUUUACCCUCUUGCUGACACCAAAGAUUGAUUCUCCUCCGAAUUGUAAGGUCAAUAAAACAGCAAUCUGAUAUAAGGCCUGAGCCAUUAGAUUUCUCCACAUAAUGUUGGUAAUAAGCGGUGCAGUCCUACCGACAGGUUUCUUCUUCAUGAGUUCCUCCGUUGGCUUCUCUGUCGCGAGUGCUAGUGCCCCUAAUGUGUCCAUGAUCAAAUUUACCCAUAGCAACUGUACUGCUGUGAGUGGUACCUCACCAGAUGAAACAGCGGCUACAAAAUUGAUCACGAGCGCAGCCACAUUUACUGUGAGCUGAAAUUGGAUGAAUUUCUGGAUGUUGUUAUAGACACACCUUCCCCAUUUCAAAACUGUGGCAAC